RNAcentral lists this ribosomal RNA (492 nucleotides) under uncultured bacterium. RNAcentral's name for it is "partial 16S ribosomal RNA". It matches the Rfam family "Bacterial small subunit ribosomal RNA", at positions 29 to 507 of the family's 1533-position model. The record is from RNAcentral.
AGUGAACGCUGGCGGUAGGCCUAACACAUGCAAGUCGAACGGCAGCACAGUAAGAGCUUGCUCUUACGGGUGGCGAGUGGCGGACGGGUGAGGAAUACAUCGGAAUCUACUUUUUCGUGGGGGAUCACGUAGGGAAACUUACGCUAAUACCGCAUACGACCUACGGGUGAAAGCAGGGGAUCUUCGGACCUUGCGCGAUUGAAUGAGCCGAUGUCGGAUUAGCUAGUUGGCGGGGUAAAGGCCCACCAAGGCGACGAUCCGUAGCUGGUCUGAGAGGAUGAUCAGCCACACUGGAACUGAGACACGGUCCAGACUCCUAAGGGAGGCAGCAGUGGGGAAUAUUGGACAAUGGGCGCAAGCCUGAUCCAGCCAUACCGCGUGGGUGAAGAAGGCCUUCGGGUUGUAAAGCCCUUUUGUUGGGAAAGAAAAGCAGCAGGUUAAUACCCCGCUGUUCUGACGGUACCCAAAGAAUAAGCACCGGCUAACUUCGUG